This 440-nucleotide ribosomal RNA is filed under the name uncultured bacterium. RNAcentral describes it as "bacterial SSU rRNA". It matches the Rfam family "Bacterial small subunit ribosomal RNA", at positions 338 to 771 of the family's 1533-position model. The record is from RNAcentral.
CCUACGGGAGGCAGCAGUGGGGAAUCUUGCGCAAUGGGCGACAGCCUGACGCAGCGACGCCGCGUGCGGGAAGAAGGCCUUCGGGUUGUAAACCGCUUUCAGGAGGGACGAAGCCACUCGGGUUAAUAGCCCAGAGGGUGACGGUACCUCCAGAAGAAGCCCCGGCUAACUACGUGCCAGCAGCCGCGGUAAUACGUAGGGGGCAAGCGUUGUCCGGAUUUAUUGGGCGUAAAGAGCGUGUAGGCGGCCAAGCAGGUCCGCUGUGAAAACUCGAGGCUCAACCUCGAGAGGUCGGUGGAAACCGUUUGGCUAGAGUCCGGAAGAGGAGAGUGGAAUUCCUGGUGUAGCGGUGAAAUGCGCAGAUAUCAGGAAGAACACCUAUGGCGAAGGCAGCUCUCUGGGACGGUACUGACGCUGAGACGCGAAAGCGUGGGGAGCGA